CCAGUAGUGCGUUUCAGUUCCCCGUAAAAAAUUCAGAGAAAAUUAAGGACAGCUUGUAGGCGUACUGUAGAGCCGUAUUCAGACCCCGAAACAAGUAAGGACCCCUCACCAUAUUUCUUAUCACGGUAUUAAAGCUAAAUAAAUAAUUAAACUGUACUGUGUGACUUUAUAAAUGUAUAAUUGAUUAAGGUUGCCAAUAGAGCCCGAGUCUGAUACAGUGUUGGACUGUUAUUGUUUGAUUU
RNAcentral lists this long non-coding RNA (242 nucleotides) under Carica papaya (papaya). RNAcentral's name for it is "long non-coding RNA (CPAP_LNC006987)". The record is from RNAcentral. Lineage: Eukaryota; Viridiplantae; Streptophyta; Magnoliopsida; Brassicales; Caricaceae.